UGACUAGGGUCUAAUAUUUUGUAUUUUGGUCUUUUUGUUACCUUUUGCAUCAUGAUUCGCUGAGGUUUAGGUGUUAGGCACAUUACCCGAAGAUUACACGAUUGUUGGGGGGUUUGCGUGGAGCUUAUUUUACGACAGGUCGUCGUAUAGAGAGCCCCCGUAAGGCUGCGAUAAGUAAUUUCGUGUGUUUUUAUAGCUGGUUUCCGAGAAAGGCUUCGUGUUAGGGGGUUUGCUAUGAUGUGAGUUCCCCGUAAAGAGACUUUUUUUGUUUAGCGUUUGAGGGGUUAAGAUUACCCUAAGUUAUGUUCUGUUACAAGAACGGUCACCUUCGUUAAUGUCUUUUGUGUAUUUUUCGGACCUUGGACUGAGAGAGGAAGAUAAUGGCGAAAUUAGUAGAUUUAAAAUUGUCCCCAUUGUUCUCGUUAGUUGUCCGACUGUUUAUUAAAAACAUUUUCACCACAGAUGGUUGGUGGUAUUACCUGCCCAGUGCUUUGAGUUAACGGCCGCAGUAUUUUGACUGUGCUAAGGUAGCAUAAUUAAUUGUCUCAUAAUUAGGGAACUGUUUGAAAGGUUUAUCGGGAUAAUUUAUAAAAUGGGGGUUUGUGUUGAAGUUUGUUUUUGGGUGCAGAACCCCAGAGUACUUAGUAAGACGGAAAGACCCCGAGAGCUUUAUACCGUGUUUGUGUUUAUUUGGGGCAAAGGCAGUAUUUUACUUGUUUUUUGAACCCCCGGGUUGAAGGUUUUAGUUACCUCGGGGAUAACUGGGUAAGAAGCAAGGAGAGAUCCUAUCGAUUUGUUUAUUUGCCACCUCGAUGUUGACUUGGGGUAACUCGUUGGCGCAGGAGUUUUCGAGUUUGGUCUGUUCGACCGUAGUUCCCCUCAUGAGUUGAGUUAAGACCGGCGAGAGCCAGGUCGGUUCUUAUCUACUGUGGCUGUUGGUUAGUACGAAAGGAUUGCUUACGGUUUUGUU
Molecule: ribosomal RNA, 970 nt
Filed under: Azygia robusta
Lineage: Eukaryota; Metazoa; Platyhelminthes; Trematoda; Azygiida; Azygiidae
Description: 16S ribosomal RNA
Rfam family: Bacterial large subunit ribosomal RNA (bases 618-970)
Source: RNAcentral